This 45-nucleotide non-coding RNA is filed under the name Schistosoma mansoni. The record is from RNAcentral. Lineage: Eukaryota; Metazoa; Platyhelminthes; Trematoda; Strigeidida; Schistosomatidae.
AUCCGGCUGACGAGUCCCGAAUAGGACGAAACGCGCGUCCUGAAU